Molecule: ribosomal RNA, 370 nt
Filed under: uncultured organism
Description: partial 16S ribosomal RNA
Rfam family: Bacterial small subunit ribosomal RNA
Source: RNAcentral
GAAGGGGGCUAGCGUUGCUCGGAAUCACUGGGCGUAAAGGGUGCGUAGGCGGGUCUUUAAGUCAGAGGUGAAAGCCUGGAGCUCAACUCCAGAACUGCCUUUGAUACUGAGGAUCUUGAGUAUGGGAGAGGUGAGUGGAACUGCGAGUGUAGAGGUGAAAUUCGUAGAUAUUCGCAAGAACACCAGUGGCGAAGGCGGCUCACUGGCCCAUAACUGACGCUGAGGCACGAAAGCGUGGGGAGCAAACAGGAUUAGAUACCAUGGUAGUCCACGCCGUAAACGAUGAAUGCCAGCCCGUUAGUGGGUUUACUCACUAGUGGCGCAGCUAACGCUUUAAGCAUUCCGCCUGGGGAGUACGGUCGCAAGAUUA